UUGCUUUUGGAGGUACAUAGACUAAAGUUGGAAGGUUACAGAGAUUAGCAUGGUUCCUGCGCAAGGAUGACAAGAGAACAUAUUUAAAAAAAAAAAAAAAAA
Acomys russatus (golden spiny mouse) is the source of this 102-nucleotide small nuclear RNA. The record is from RefSeq and is a predicted model, not a curated record. NCBI's taxonomy places the organism in Eukaryota, Metazoa, Chordata, Mammalia, Rodentia, Muridae.